CUACUCGUGCUUCUACAUCCACGCCAAAAUGAUGCAAAGCCACAGAAACCGCGUGUUCCAUGAUUUCCGCAAUG
Molecule: ribosomal RNA, 74 nt
Filed under: uncultured Symbiodinium
Lineage: Eukaryota; Dinophyceae; Suessiales; Symbiodiniaceae
Description: partial Archaeal small subunit ribosomal RNA
Source: RNAcentral